GUUGAACGCUGGCGGCAGGCCUAAUACAUGCAAGUCGAGCGGACGGACGAGGAUCGUUCUUCGCUUACGUUGGCGACGGGCGGGUGAUGAACACGUAUAUAACCUGCCUAGAGGGCUGGGGUAACGUCGCGAGAGCUGAUCUAAUACCGGUUAUGAGGGUGAACGUGGUGGUUCAUUAGUGAAAGAGGGUUUUGCUGUCACUUGGAGGGGUAUGCGCGCCGCAUUGGUUAGUUGGUAAGGUAACGGCGUACCAAGGCAACGAUGCGUAGCCGACCUGAGAGGGUGAUCAGCCACACUGGAACUGAGACACGGUCCAGACUCCUACGGGAGGCAGCAGUAGGGAAUAUUCCGCAAUGGGCGAAAGCCUGACGGAGCAACGCCGCGUGAGUGAUGAAGGUCUUCGGAUCGUAAAGCUCUGUUAUUAGGGAAGAACAACUGUGUAAGUAAACCUGCACGUCUUGACGGUACCUACUCAGAAAGCACCGGCUAACUACGUG
Molecule: ribosomal RNA, 497 nt
Filed under: uncultured bacterium
Lineage: Bacteria
Description: partial 16S ribosomal RNA
Rfam family: Bacterial small subunit ribosomal RNA
Source: RNAcentral